This 171-nucleotide ribosomal RNA is filed under the name uncultured bacterium. Its description in RNAcentral is "partial 16S ribosomal RNA". The record is from RNAcentral.
CACGCCCUAAACGAUGUCUACUAGUUGUCGGGUCUUAAUUGACUUGGUAACGCAGCUAACGCGUGAAGUAGACCGCCUGGGGAGUNACGCGAAAAACCUUACCUACCCUUGACAUGUCAGGAACCCUCGAGAGAUUGAGGGGUGCUCGAAAGAGAGCCUGAACACAGGUGC